AACGAACGCUGGCGGCAUGCCUAACACAUGCAAGUCGAACGAGACCUUCGGGUCUAGUGGCGCACGGGUGCGUAACGCGUGGGAACCUGCCCUUAGGUUCGGAAUAACUCCCCGAAAGGGGUGCUAAUACCGGAUAAUGUCUUCGGACCAAAGAUUUAUCGCCUUUGGAUGGGCCCGCGUUGGAUUAGCUAGUUGGUAGGGUAAAAGCCAACCAAGGCGACGAUCCAUAGCUGGUCUGAGAGGAUGAUCAGCCACCCUGGGACUAUGACACGGCCCAGACUCCUACGGGAGGCAGCAGUGGGGAAUAUUGGACAAUGGGCGAAAGCCUGAUCCAGCCAUGCCGCGUGAGUGAUGAAGGCCUUAGAGUUGUAAAGCUCUUUUACCCGGGAUGAUAAUGACAGUACCGGGAGAAUAAGCUCCGGCUAACUCCGUG
Molecule: ribosomal RNA, 433 nt
Filed under: uncultured bacterium
Lineage: Bacteria
Description: partial 16S ribosomal RNA
Rfam family: Bacterial small subunit ribosomal RNA
Source: RNAcentral